CUACGGGUUGCAGCAGUCGAGAAUCUUUUACAAUGCACGAAAGUGUGAUAGAGCGAGCCAGAGUGCUUUUCAAUGAAAAGCUUUUGCCAAAUGUAAAAAGUUUGGCGAAUAAGGACUGGGUAAGACGAGUGCCAGCCGCCGCGGUAAUACUCGCGGUCCAAGUCGCAGCCAUUUUUAUUGGGUCUAAAACAUCCGUAGCUUUUUUGAUAAGUUUCUUGUGAAAUUUCAUGUCUCAAACAUGAAGCGUGCAAGAAAUACUAUCUUACUAGAGACUGGGAGACGUAAGGAGUACGAUUAAGGUAGCGGUAAAAUGUGUUAAUCUUAAUUGGACUAACAACAGCGAAGGCACCUUACGAGGACAGUUCUGACAGUAAGGGAUGAAGGCUAGGGGCGCAAAACGGAUUAGAUACCCUAGUAGUC
This 420-nucleotide ribosomal RNA is filed under the name uncultured archaeon. Its description in RNAcentral is "partial 16S ribosomal RNA". It matches the Rfam family "Archaeal small subunit ribosomal RNA", at positions 323 to 746 of the family's 1478-position model. The record is from RNAcentral.